AGAGUUUGAUCCUGGCUCAGAUUGAACGCUGGCGGCAGGCUUAACACAUGCAAGUCGAACGAUCCCUUCGGGGAUAGUGGCAGACGGGUGAGUAACGCGUGGGAACCUACCUUUAGGUACGGAACAACAGUUGGAAACGACUGCUAAUACCGUAUGAGCCCUAUGGGGGAAAGAUUUAUCGGAGUUGGAUGAGCCCGCGUUGGAUUAGCUAGUUGGUGGGGUAAUGGCCUACCAAGGCGACGAUCCAUAGCUGGUCUGAGAGGAUGAUCAGCCACACUGGGACUGAGACACGGCCCAGACUCCUACGGGAGGCAGCAGUGGGGAAUAUUGGACAAUGGGGGCAACCCUGAUCCAGCCAUGCCGCGUGAGUGAUGAAGGCCCUAGGGUUGUAAAGCUCUUUCAGCGAGGAGGAUAAUGACGUUACUCGCAGAAGAAGCCCCGGCUAACUUCGUGCCAGCCGCCGCGGUAAUUC
RNAcentral lists this ribosomal RNA (472 nucleotides) under uncultured bacterium. Its description in RNAcentral is "bacterial SSU rRNA". It matches the Rfam family "Bacterial small subunit ribosomal RNA", at positions 8 to 526 of the family's 1533-position model. The record is from RNAcentral.